RNAcentral lists this ribosomal RNA (468 nucleotides) under uncultured bacterium. RNAcentral describes it as "partial 16S ribosomal RNA". It matches the Rfam family "Bacterial small subunit ribosomal RNA", at positions 28 to 507 of the family's 1533-position model. The record is from RNAcentral.
GACGAACGCUGGCGGCGUGCUUAACACAUGCAAGUCGAACGGAAAGGCCCUGCUUUUGUGGGGUGCUCGAGUGGCGAACGGGUGAGUAACACGUGAGUAACCUGCCCUUGACUUUGGGAUAACUUCAGGAAACUGGGGCUAAUACCGGAUAGGAGCUCCUGCUGCAUGGUGGGGGCUGGAAAGUUUCGGCGGUUGGGGAUGGACUCGCGGCUUAUCAGCUUGUUGGUGGGGUAGUGGCUUACCAAGGCUUUGACGGGUAGCCGGCCUGAGAGGGUGACCGGCCACAUUGGGACUGAGAUACGGCCCAGACUCCUACGGGAGGCAGCAGUGGGGAAUAUUGCACAAUGGGCGGAAGCCUAAUGCAGCAACGCCGCGUGCGGGAUGACGGCCUUCGGGUUGUAAACCGCUUUCGCCUGUGACGAAGCGUGAGUGACGGUAAUGGGUAAAGAAGCACCGGCUAACUACGUG